RNAcentral lists this ribosomal RNA (253 nucleotides) under uncultured bacterium. RNAcentral describes it as "partial 16S ribosomal RNA". It matches the Rfam family "Bacterial small subunit ribosomal RNA", at positions 524 to 776 of the family's 1533-position model. The record is from RNAcentral.
UACGUAGGGGGCUAGCGUUGUCCGGAAUCAUUGGGCGUAAAGAGCGUGUAGGCGGUUCGGUAAGUCCGCUGUGAAAGUCCAGGGCUCAACCCUGGAAUGCCAGUGGAAACUGCCGAGCUAGAGUCCGGAAGAGGCGAGUGGAAUUCCUGGUGUAGCGGUGAAAUGCGCAGAUAUCAGGAGGAACACCAAUGGCGAAAGCAGCUCGCUGGGACGGUACUGACGCUGAGACGCGAAAGCGUGGGGAGCGAGCAGG